This 900-nucleotide ribosomal RNA is filed under the name Paraconiothyrium sp. 2 CBS 251.87. Its description in RNAcentral is "eukaryotic LSU rRNA". It matches the Rfam family "Eukaryotic large subunit ribosomal RNA", at positions 38 to 955 of the family's 3401-position model. Lineage: Eukaryota; Fungi; Ascomycota; Dothideomycetes; Pleosporales; Didymosphaeriaceae. The record is from RNAcentral.
GCAUAUCAAUAAGCGGAGGAAAAGAAACCAACAGGGAUUGCCCUAGUAACGGCGAGUGAAGCGGCAACAGCUCAAAUUUGAAAUCUGGCUCUCUUCGGGGGUCCGAGUUGUAAUUUGCAGAGGAUGCUUUGGCAUUGGCGGCGUUCUAAGUUCCUUGGAACAGGACAUCACAGAGGGUGAGAAUCCCGUACGUGGUCGCCUGCCUUUGCCGUGUAAAGCUCCUUCGACGAGUCGAGUUGUUUGGGAAUGCAGCUCUAAAUGGGAGGUAAAUUUCUUCUAAAGCUAAAUACCGGCCAGAGACCGAUAGCGCACAAGUAGAGUGAUCGAAAGAUGAAAAGUACUUUGGAAAGAGAGUCAAAAAGCACGUGAAAUUGUUGAAAGGGAAGCGCUUGCAGCCAGACUUGCCCGCAGUUGCUCACCUAGGCUUUGGCCUGGGGCACUCUUCUGUGGGCAGGCCAGCAUCAGUUUGGGCGGUUGGAUAAAGGCCUCUGUCACGUAUCUCCCUUCGGGGUGACCUUAUAGGGGAGGCGUAAUGCAACCAGCCCGGACUGAGGUCCGCGCAUCUGCUAGGAUGCUGGCGUAAUGGCUGUAAGCGGCCCGUCUUGAAACACGGACCAAGGAGUCUAACAUCUAUGCGAGUGUUUGGGUGUCAAGCCCGGGCGCGCAAUGAAAGUGAACGGAGGUGGGAACCCUUUGGGUGCACCAUCGACCGAUCCUGAUGUCUUCGGAUGGAUUUGAGUAAGAGCAUAGCUGUUGGGACCCGAAAGAUGGUGAACUAUGCUUGAAUAGGGUGAAGCCAGAGGAAACUCUGGUGGAGGCUCGCAGCGGUUCUGACGUGCAAAUCGAUCGUCAAAUUUGGGCAUAGGGGCGAAAGACUAAUCGAACCAUCUAGUAGCUGGU